GUCUCUGUGGCUCAAUGGGUCAGUGCGUCUGGUUGUUAAUCGGAAGGUUGGUGGUUCAUGCCCACUCAGGGACA
Podarcis lilfordi (Lilford's wall lizard) is the source of this 74-nucleotide non-coding RNA. Lineage: Eukaryota; Metazoa; Chordata; Lepidosauria; Squamata; Lacertidae. The record is from the annotation of a GenBank genome assembly.